This is a small nuclear RNA of Phacochoerus africanus (Common warthog), 108 nucleotides long. The record is from RefSeq and is a predicted model, not a curated record. NCBI's taxonomy places the organism in Eukaryota, Metazoa, Chordata, Mammalia, Artiodactyla, Suidae.
GUGCUCACUUCAGCAGCAUAUAUACUAAAAAGUAGAAUGAUACAGAGAAGAUGAGCAUGGCCCCUGAACAUGGAUGGCACGCAAAUGUGUGAAGUGUUCUAAAUUUUA